UACGAAGGGUGCAAGCGUUAAUCGGAAUUACUGGGCGUAAAGCGUGCGUAGGCGGUUUCUUAAGUCUGCUGUGAAAGCCCCGGGCUCAACCUGGGAAUGGCGGUGGAUACUGAGGAGCUGGAGUACGGUAGAGGAAGGUGGAAUUCCCGGUGUAGCGGUGAAAUGCGUAGAGAUCGGGAGGAACAUCAGUGGCGAAGGCAGCUCGCUGGAACGGUACUGACGCUGAGGCGCGAAAGCGUGGGGAGCGAACAGG
RNAcentral lists this ribosomal RNA (253 nucleotides) under uncultured bacterium. RNAcentral describes it as "partial 16S ribosomal RNA". It matches the Rfam family "Bacterial small subunit ribosomal RNA", at positions 524 to 776 of the family's 1533-position model. The record is from RNAcentral.